UACGUAGGGUGCGAGCGUUGUCCGAAAUUAUUGGGCGUAAAGCGCGUGUAGGCGGCCCUGCAAGUCGGGUGUGAAAUCCCACGGCUCAACCGUGGAAGUGCACUCGAAACUGCAGGGCUAGAGUCCUGGAGAGGAAGGUGGAAUGCUUGGUGUAGAGGUGAAAUUCGUAGAUAUCAAGCGGAACACCGGUGGCGAAGGCGGCCUUCUGGACAGUGACUGACGCUGAGACGGCGAAAGCGUGGGGAGCAAACAGG
RNAcentral lists this ribosomal RNA (254 nucleotides) under uncultured bacterium. Its description in RNAcentral is "partial 16S ribosomal RNA". It matches the Rfam family "Bacterial small subunit ribosomal RNA", at positions 524 to 776 of the family's 1533-position model. The record is from RNAcentral.